Molecule: ribosomal RNA, 488 nt
Filed under: uncultured bacterium
Lineage: Bacteria
Description: partial 16S ribosomal RNA
Rfam family: Bacterial small subunit ribosomal RNA
Source: RNAcentral
GACGAACGCUGGCGGCGUGCUUAACACGUGCAAGUCGAACGAAAAUACCAAGCUUGCUUGGUUGAUUAGUGGCGAACGGGUGAGUAACACGUGAGUAACCUGCCCCUUACUUUCCUGGAUAACUGCUCGAAAGGGUAGCUAAUACGGGAUAUUCUGACCAGCCUGCAUGGGUUGGUUUGGAAAGGUUGUUUUUCUGGUAAGGGAUGGGCUCGCGGCCUAUCAGCUUGUUGGUGGGGUGAUGGCCUACCAAGGCUUUGACGGGUAGCCGGCCUGAGAGGGUGGACGGUCACACUGGGACUGAGAUACGGCCCAGACUCCUACGGGAGGCAGCAGUGGGGAAUAUUGCACAAUGGGCGCAAGCCUGAUGCAGCGACGCCGCGUGAGGGAUGAAGGCCUUCGGGUUGUAAACCUCUUUCGUCAGGGAACAAGGCACUGCUUUUUUGGUGGUGUUGAGGGUACCUGGAUAAGAAGCGCCGGCUAACUACGUG